CCCCGCAACAUUCUGUAUGUAUGUUUCUAUCCCUAGUCAGGAGUCGGUCAUUCAGUGGUUGUCCUUUGUUUAUGUGUUACAUAUUUGUUUUUGAUAGAUUGGACUGUUAGAUCUCUCGUUUGAAUUGUUUUACAAUGUCAUUUCGGGGCCUUUUAUAGCUGACUAUACGGUAUGGGCUUUGCUAAUUGUUGAUGGCCAUACUGUGCCCUAUAGUUGUUAACUUCUGUGUCAUUUGAUCUCUUGUGGAGAGUAGUCUCAUUGGCAAUCAUACCACAUCUUCUCUUUGACAUAAAAUAUUUUAACCUUCGUUUUAAAAAAACACAUGUCCAAAAC
RNAcentral lists this long non-coding RNA (333 nucleotides) under Mytilus galloprovincialis (Mediterranean mussel). Lineage: Eukaryota; Metazoa; Mollusca; Bivalvia; Mytilida; Mytilidae. The record is from RNAcentral.